UACGAAGGGGGCAAGCGUUGUUCGGAAUUAAUGGGAGUAAAGAGUGCGUAGGCGGUAAUGUAAGAAAGAUGUGAAAUCCCCGGGCUUAACCUGGGACCUGCAUUUGUGACUGCAUUGCUGGAGUGCGGCAGAGGGGGAUGGAAUUCCGCGUGUAGCAGUGAAAUGCGUAGAUAUGCGGAGGAACACCGAUGGCGAAGGCAAUCCCCUGGGCCUGCACUGACGCUCAUGCACGAAAGCGUGGGGAGCAAACAGG
RNAcentral lists this ribosomal RNA (253 nucleotides) under uncultured bacterium. RNAcentral describes it as "partial 16S ribosomal RNA". It matches the Rfam family "Bacterial small subunit ribosomal RNA", at positions 524 to 776 of the family's 1533-position model. The record is from RNAcentral.